Molecule: ribosomal RNA, 1511 nt
Filed under: uncultured delta proteobacterium
Lineage: Bacteria; Deltaproteobacteria
Description: bacterial SSU rRNA
Rfam family: Bacterial small subunit ribosomal RNA
Source: RNAcentral
GAGAGUUUGAUCCUGGCUCAGAUUGAACGCUGGCGGCGUGCCUAACACAUGCAAGUCGAGCGGCAGCGCGGGAGCAAUCCUGGCGGCGAGCGGCGGACGGGUGAGCAAUAUUUGGGAAUCUGCCUAUUAGUGGGGGACAACCCGGGGAAACUCGGGCUAAUACCGCAUACGCACUACGGUGGAAAGCCGGGGACCGCAAGGCCUGGCGCUAAUAGAUGAGCCCAAAUCGGAUUAGCUAGUUGGUGAGGUAAUGGCUCACCAAGGCUACGAUCCGUAGCUGGUCUGAGAGGACGACCAGCCACACCGGGACUGAGACACGGCCCAGACUCCUACGGGAGGCAGCAGUGGGGAAUAUUGGACAAUGGGCGCAAGCCUGAUCCAGCCACGCCGCGUGUGUGAUGAAGGCCUUCGGGUCGUAAAGCACUGUGGGGAGGGAAGAAUGAGCAGCGGGAACAAUACCCCGCUGCUGUGACGGUACCUCCUUAGCAAGCACCGGCUAACUCCGUGCCAGCAGCCGCGGUAAUACGGAGGGUGCAAACGUUGCUCGGAAUCAUUGGGCGUAAAGCGCGUGUAGGCGGUCUGUUUAGUCGAGUGUGAAAGCCCUGGGCUUAACCCAGGAAGUGCGCUCGAUACUGGCAGACUUGAGUACGGGAGAGGGUAGCGGAAUUCCCGGUGUAGAGGUGAAAUUCGUAGAUAUCGGGAGGAACACCAGUGGCGAAGGCGGCUACCUGGACCGAUACUGACGCUGAGACGCGAAAGCGUGGGUAGCAAACAGGAUUAGAUACCCUGGUAGUCCACGCCGUAAACGAUGAGUGCUAGGUGUCGCGGGUAUUGACCCCUGCGGUGCCGCAGUUAACGCAUUAAGCACUCCGUCUGGGGAGUACGGCCGCAAGGCUAAAACUCAAAGGAAUUGACAGGGGCCCGCACAAGCGGUGGAGCAUGUGGUUCAAUUCGACGCAACGCGAAGAACCUUACCUGGGUUGGAAACCUCCGGAACCCUCUGGAGACAGAGGGGUGCCCUUCGGGGAGCCGGAUGUCCAGGUGCUGCAUGGCUGUCGUCAGCUCGUGUCGUGAGAUGUUGGGUUAAGUCCCGCAACGAGCGCAACCCUUGUCUUUAGUUGCCAACGGUUCGGCCGGGCUACUCUAAAGAGACUGCCGGUGUUAAACCGGAGGAAGGUGGGGAUGACGUCAAGUCCUCAUGGCCCUUAUGCCCAGGGCUACACACGUGCUACAAUGGCGGCUACAAAGGGCUGCGACACCGCGAGGUGAAGCUAAUCCCAAAAAAGCCGCCUCAGUUCGGAUAGAAGUCUGCAACUCGACUUCUUGAAGCCGGAAUCGCUAGUAAUCGCAGAUCAGAACGCUGCGGUGAAUACGUUCCCGGGCCUUGUACACACCGCCCGUCACACCAUGGGAGUCGGAUGCUCCAGAAGUGGCUGAGCUAACCCGAAAGGGAGGCAGGUCCCCAAGGAGUGUCCGGUGACUGGGGUGAAGUCGUAACAAGGUAGCCGUAG